RNA transcript from Panicum virgatum (switchgrass), 5176 nucleotides. It is a transcript of the gene named E3 ubiquitin-protein ligase Os04g0590900-like, with no coding region annotated. The transcript has 3 exons. The record is from RefSeq and is a predicted model, not a curated record. NCBI's taxonomy places the organism in Eukaryota, Viridiplantae, Streptophyta, Magnoliopsida, Poales, Poaceae.
UGUGGAUUAGAGGUGACAAUCAUGAUCAACAGUUCAAUUGUCAUUGUUUGCCUUGAUCCUGCAGACUGCAGUCCUACUAAGGAAAUGGCCACUGAAGAGCAUUAGCUCUGACUUCAGGCAGUACUCUGAUGAUGUUCUCCACUGAAGAAACUCAUCAUUUGUAGCUGCCACUACAAACUACACCAACAUGCCUCAUUGUUUUCUAUUACAAUUUACAGCCAGUUGGGUCUUGAUAGUUUCUACAUUUGAUUUGUCAGGAUAAAGAAUUUUGUUUCUCUGCAGUACUCGGUAACUUUUCAGUCUAUCUAUAUCCAAGAUUUCCUAACUCAUCGAAGCCAAUGGUCUAAAAAAAAUCAUCAAAGCCUAGGAUAGUUUGAGUUUCCUGUUUCUCAACAAAGUAGUAAUUUAUACUGUAUAUUAUUACGGCGAAUAUCAUAUGCCAUUCAUUCUCUUGGUAGCGCGCCAGUGCUGAUUUAGUGAUCACUUAUGUGGUGCAUUGCAUUAUGCACAAGUACUUGUUUGUGGAAGAAGUACCUUUCCCAAGGACUGACUGUAUAUUGUUUAUUGCAUUAUGCUUAUUGCUAUUUGUGUCUGAACUUCAAAGUCACUCACAAGUACUAUGUUUUUUUUUCUGCUUAAUAUAUUGAUGCGCAGUUCUCCUGCGUGUUCGAGAAAAUAUGUUCUUUUGUGAGAAAUUGAUUUCUCCCCAGCAUCUUUCAUGUGGCUGCAUGCAUCACUGGAUAGAACAUGCAACGAUAUUGUUGGGAUGUACUCCCUCUGUAGGAAAUUACAAAUUGUAUUUUGUUUCUUUGGACAGGGCUUUAACCAAAAUUAAUUAAUUAAUAUGCAUCCUUUUAAUAUGAAUAUAAUAACAUCAACUUUGUGUCACAAAAUCAUUUAUUAGUAAAGUACCUGAUGGCAAUGAGACAAUAUACGCCUUGUAAUUUCAAUGGAGGGAAUAAUAUUCAAGUGCCCCCGGGGGAACCUGUUGAAAAUCGCUUCAACAAGUCCAUUCAAAACUUUUAAAGAAAAAUCUAGAAGUUUGAACUUGAAAGUUUUUCCAAGAGAUAUUUGUGAAAUAGUUUCAAUCUCACCAAAACAGGAAAGUGUAAGCUGUUGUUAUGCUUAGAACAAUUGUUGAAAAGAUGGAACUGACUGCAGUAUGGUCCUGUUCAUAAGAAGUUGUAAGAUAUGAUGGUGGCUACAAUUAUAAUUACCACACACCAGCUUUUCGGGAUGUCUGGUCAAUGAGAAGCAAAGUGGCAGAAGAGGUGCAUAUUUAACUCUACGUAGUUUAAAGCAGCCGUUCCCACAAAUUUUAGGGGACUAAAGUGGGACGGAUUGAUGCAAACUGAUAUAUGUUCCUUUUUUUUUGUAAAAGCAAGCUCAGGUGGUUUGUUUUAUCUUUUAUUUUUUCCUAACCUCAAAGGAGUCAAAGUAUUAAAGCUACCUCUAUUGGUCGGACUAAUUCUUUUGGAAAAAAAGGAUGAUACUGUUUCUCUUUUUGUUGUGGUCCACCACUUCAUCCGUCUUCUCCUAGAAACAUUCAAUUAGUUCAUUUCCACAUAUACAAACAGGGGAAAAGAGAAAUUUGAAAGUAUAUCAUUCUUUUGUGGAGUGAAUGUUCUUCACGGAGGAAUAUAAGAAUAGAUGAUAGACAUCAGAAUCAGCUAACUUGGUUCUCCUGUUUAAACUUUUUGGAGCCCUGAACGAUUAAUCUACUAGUUAUCAUGCAGUUGUUUGCUUGGUAAAUUAAUAUUUUGAUUGACAUGUUCUUUUCAAACUAUCCCUGUCUAACUUUUGUACACCCGCAAUUAAAAUGUUAGUUUGUUCUACAGAAGCAUAGCUAUUCAAUUGCUUUCCAAAUGAGAGUAACAUGACAUGUUAGCCUUUUCCCAAUCCUUUGAUCAUGAUUCAUGAAUCUCAGAAAUUAUCAGGUAAUUGCAUUCCUCCAGAUUAUACAACAAUUAAGUGGAGAGAGUGUGACUGGAUGUUCUUUUGUAGUUAGCCAGCAAUAUGGUCGCACUUAGCUUUCACUGCAUGGAACCAUACAUGUCCCUUUGUCUGCAUGUGUCCCAAAAUUUGUCCCUUGUUUCUGUCAAUUGUCAUGCAUUGGCUGCACUGGUAUCCCUGUUAUGUGACAGUUAUGUGCUGAUCAAGAUGGAAUGCCAAAGAAUAUGGGAAAAUAUUUGGGGUUUUCAACUAUUUCUGAAUACCGAAUCAUCUCUGUCCAACUUAGACUAUAAAACGGUACCUGCUCUUCAUUUCUUUAAGGUAAGCUCGGUCAUGUGGCACUGCCUUCAUUUAAGAUUGAUUUGCAUUUGGCAUGAGGCUAAACUGUAUUGUAUGCAUGUAUCCAGAAUGCCAAAUUGCCAAUCCAAAUUUCCAUAUAACUUUGUCCUCAAGAAAAAAGUAAUUUUCAUAUAUCUUUGGUUUAAACUGUCCUUUUACUUGAAGUACAAGGGAUGUUGUUUUCAUACAAGCGCAAGCUAUUAAGGCUUAUGUUGACACCAUAACAAGAUUAGUGUCAUAAAGCGAGAAGUAAAUUCAAAGAAAGGUGUUGAAUAGUGGGAGUAAUCAUCAUCUUUAGUUACUUGAAGAGACAAACAUGAUUGUUGAAGGAGAGACCUCAUGGUUUAUGAUACAGCACAGUCCUUGUUUUUGGAGGUGAAACAGUAGUGGUACCAGCGUUGUCAUUGACAGGGGUACAAGAUAAUGGAAAUUUAAUAGCUUUACCUUUAUGAAGUUGCUUCUUUGACACUUAGCAGAGCUUUGAAAUGUCCCCUUGAUUCUCUUUAUUUUUCAAGUGAAUUUGACUGAUCAAAGCUUAUAGAAUAUAAUUAUUCAGAAAAAGCUUAUAGAACAUCAAACUUAGAAACCGAAAAACCUUGCAAUAAGAGCAAACCAGGUGAUUGGUUUCGUCUAUCACAUUGAUAAAGGUUUAAUACAUUUUCACACUGAUAAUUAUUAUUUUUAAUUUCUUAACUCUUUCAGUUGAACCUUGUACUGAUAGGCUUCAUUGAUGCUAUUGCUCUGCUUCUUCUUUUUGUUCUUUUGGUGUGAGGAGCGUAUUACUCUAUUUAUGUUUGCUAUUCAUUUGUUAUUAUUAUCAUAUCAGACAGAUAUAUUGUCUUCCUCAUCUAAUGUGUGUGUGGCGAAAGGGGCAUCGAAGUUAAAAGAGGAAAGCAACAGAAGCAGACAGCAGGCAGAGGAAAAGAAAAGGAAAGAAGAGCCGCAGCACCAAAAAAACAAGACAAAAGCAAAUAAGGUCAGGCCCCAACCACCACCAUCUCUCCACGUCUCCCUCCAUCCCUCCCAAAUUCUUUGCCUUGCAACGAAGUUUCUCAAAGCCAGGAGCGUCAUCUCAUCAUCUGAUCUCUCCCCAUAUCCUCUCACAAUUCCCAACACUGAGAAAGUACCAUGGAUCCAAGGCACAUCUGUCCUAUCUCAUCUCAUCACAAUGAUUUAUCCCAGAAACUCACAGAGAUGCUCUGCUAGCAGCACCUGAACACUCAGUAUCAGAGACUGAGUGAGGUAGCUAACAUCUCUCUCCGUUUCUCCUUCUACCAUUGCUGCUUCUGCCAGAGCUCGUGGUGGGAGGCAAUGGCCUCUUCACCACUUGCAAUCUCAGGGGCACAACCUACAUGGGUCCCCUAUGAGGCAACCAAAGAUUGCUCUCAGGGCCUGUGCAGCAUGUACUGCCCGCAGUGGUGCUAUUUCAUCUUCCCUCCACCGCCGCCGUUCGACGUCGGCGGACCCAGCCCCGACGACUCCGGCCCCGUCUUCUCCCCGCUUGUGAUCGCUAUCAUCGGUGUGCUGGCCAUCGCCUUCCUCCUCGUCAGCUAUUACACCUUCAUCUCCAGGUACUGCAGCACCUUCGGUUCCUUCCGGGGCAGAGUCUUUGGCCCCAGCUCAGGUGGCGCUGCCCGUGGCGGCAACGGUGGUACCGGCGGCGGCGGUGGAGGCCAUGGCCAUGGACAGUCCAGGAGUCAGGAGUCCUGGAACGUCUCGCCGUCGACCGGUCUGGAUGAGGCCCUGAUCAGCAAGAUCACCUUGUGCAAGUACAAGCGUGGCGACGCCUCGGUCCACACAACGGACUGCUCGGUCUGUCUCGGCGAGUUCAGGGACGGGGAGAGCCUCCGGCUGCUGCCCAAGUGCAGCCAUGCCUUCCACCAGCAAUGCAUCGACAAGUGGCUCAAGUCGCACUCCAACUGCCCUCUCUGCCGCUCCAACAUCACGUUCAUCACCGCGGGGAUGCGGAUGGCGACGCCGGAGCCAGAUGGCCGUGGUCCAGGCGAGGGUGUUGGGAGGGACAGCCAUGCAGCAGAGGUGGUUGUGGUGAUGGAUGACUUGGAAAUCAUGUGCGAGGAGCAGCAGAGCGUGGCGGGCAGCAGCGAUGGUGAUGAUCAUCAGGAAGCAAAUGGUCGCCCAGCUGAGGGAAUGGACGAGGCCGACAGCAAGGCUGAGAUCAGAGAAGAAUGCUCGCCGCCGCCGACGCUGAGGAGGGUCCCUUCGCCGUCGGACGCGAAUCCUGACAUCCGGAUGUCCAUCGCCGAAGUUCUGCAGGCCAGCAUGGAAGACGAGCUCGUGGCAGCCAGGGAGAGCGGCCUCCUUGCAGGUGGUACCGCCGGCACGUCAAGAGGGUGCCAUGGUGAGAACAGUAAGGAAUGGGGGCGCAGCAACCGGCGUGCAUCGCAGGACGCCAUGGACUCCGUGGCGACGAGGAGGCUGCCGCCUGCCGGGCGGUCGUGCUUCAGCAGCAAGAGUGGAAGGGGAAGGGAUCCAGAUCUUCCGAUGUGAGCUCUCAGUUCAGAAUUUCAGAUUUCACCUAGGAUUCUGGGCUGGGCUUUUGUUUAUAGGCCUUGGAUAGGUUCUUUCCUGUUCUUCUGUUCUACGUAUUGUGGCGUCCUACAUGGCUAACAUUCCAUUCUUUCAGUGGACAUGUUCUUACUGCGAGUUCAGUAACAUGCCUACAGUUUUCUGCCCCAGCAAUUGCUAUUCAGUAAAAUGCUGAGCACAAAGUGUGAAAACUGACUGUGCAGUGGUUUAGGUCUCUCGUCCAUAGGUGGAACCCUUUUCUUUGGUCUAACAAAAAAUUGCAGGAAUCCUCCCUUCAUCGAUGAUGGACCUGUAGCACAACCAGAAAAGCUUGUGUGAGAUGAGAUCUUUGUUGUCA